Molecule: long non-coding RNA, 237 nt
Filed under: Elaeis guineensis (African oil palm)
Lineage: Eukaryota; Viridiplantae; Streptophyta; Magnoliopsida; Arecales; Arecaceae
Description: long non-coding RNA (EGUI_LNC065883)
Source: RNAcentral
CUUUGGAGCUUAAUUCUUUUUCUUGAUUUGCAAUCUUAUAGAAUACUUUCAAUUCAUCUUACACUUGUUUAGCAGAAAUAAAAGAAAAGAUAUAUUAAAUUUAUUUGUAUCUAAUGAACAAUAAAGCAUAUUCAUAGUCUUAGCAUUUAGCUAGGCCAUUUUUUUAUCACGCUCAUCCCAUAGCCUUUUGGGAUUAGGUGAAGCAAUACCAUUAAUCAAUGUAGUGGUUGUGUAUGG